CUUGUUGGUGAGGUAAUGGCUCACCAAGGCGACGACGGGUAGCCGGCCUGAGAGGGUGACCGGCCACACUGGGACUGAGACACGGCCCAGACUCCUACGGGAGGCAGCAGUGGGGAAUAUUGCACAAUUGGGCGAAAGCCUGAUGCAGCAACGCCGCGUGAGGGAUGACGGCCUUCGGGUUGUAAACCUCUUUUAGUAGGGAAGAAGCGAAAGUGACGGUACCUGCAGAAAAAGCACCGGACUAACUACGUGCCAGCAGCCGCGGUAAUACGUAGGGUGCAAGCGUUGUCCGUGAAUUAUUGG
This 303-nucleotide ribosomal RNA is filed under the name Curtobacterium sp. RNAcentral's name for it is "bacterial SSU rRNA". It matches the Rfam family "Bacterial small subunit ribosomal RNA", at positions 245 to 557 of the family's 1533-position model. Lineage: Bacteria; Bacillati; Actinomycetota; Actinomycetes; Micrococcales; Microbacteriaceae. The record is from RNAcentral.